GGGUGAACGAAGAAUUUGCCUACUAGUUUCUAAAAGAUUAACAGUAACUUGUAUUACUUUGGUAUUAAAUUACAUUGGGUUAAUUCAAAAGUUAUUCCUACAGUUCAUUAUCGUGGAAUUAGAGGAAGAUCCCGCGCUUAUUCGAAGACGACGGAAACUAACAAACUCACAUCACAGAAGAAUGGAGCCGAUCAUCCUCUCCGACGAAGACGACCCCUCAACACCAUUCCCUCUCCAUUCCAAGAAACGCCGAACCGAAUCUAAUCCAAACCCUACCGUUUUCCUCCUCGACGACGAUCCCACCCCUCAGAAACAAUACGUUCCUUCCUCUACACCCUCCGUCGUUCCCGAGACUCCAUUCUCUCCGUUAUUCGAUUCCGAUAUUGCAAUCGUCAAAUGCACUAGACCUUCCGAUUCCGCUCCUGCAAAUUUAUCCGGAAUUAGUCAAAUGAUAUGUUUGGAAUCAGAUGAUGAGCCGGAAAAUUCUGGAGCGGGCAAUUGGAUAGAGAAUGAAGAAAGGGGAUUGUCUUCAGAACUAAUUGGAAAUUCAACAUGGACUAACGAUUCAAUUGGGUCUAGAACUUCUCCUGAGAGACAUGUAUCGAGUGGAAAUGUUACUCAAGCUGAAAUAUAUGGGGACAAUACUUCGAAUCCAACCUCCUCAAAAGUGGAAGAGAAUCCUACUGCGAAAAAUAUGAGCCUGGAGCAGGAAGAGAACGUUGAUAACAUGAAAAGAUCCAAAGUCUCAGCAAAGAGCACAAACAAGGCAACUGGAAAAACAAAGAUGACAAAAGAAGAAAGAAGUCGGUUGAUGGAAGAAAAAAAACUACUGAAGGAACAAGAGAAGUUAAAAAAAGCAGCUAUGAAGGCUGAAGCUGCAGAACUGAAAAAAAUUGAGAAAGAAAAGCAAAAGUGGGAAAAAGGGAAGUUGGCAAUAAAAUAUAUUGUGGCAGAAAUAGAUGCAAAGGUAGUUGAAUCAGGUUCAAUCGGAGGCCAUUUGCUUACUAGGUUUGCUGAAAAAGGGCUUACAUACCAUAUUACAUCAAAUCCAAUCUCAGGUUCAAUUUUAUGGUCUAUGAAAGUUCCAGAACAUAUUUUGCAGCUUUCCACCGAAAGAAUUGAGAUUCCAUACGUCUUACUAGUUUAUGAGGCCGACAAAUUUUGUAACCUCGCCAUGAAUGAUUCUCUUUUUGAUCAACUCAAUAGCAUUCGAAGUCACUAUCCAGCUUAUACUGUUUGUUAUCUCACCAAUAGAUUAUUUUCUUACAUUAAUAAAAGGGAGCAGGAAAAAUACAAGAACCCUGAAAACAAUAGUUGUUGGAUACGUCCACCUGUUGAGGAGGUGCUUGCGAAACUAAAAAAUAAUUUCACCAAAAUACAUUCCAGGCAGUGUGUGGAUGAGGCUGAACUGGCUGAACAUGUUGUUGGUUUGACAUCCAGUCUAGCUUCUUGUCAAUUUAGAAAGAAAUUAACUAGGUUAUCUGUAAAUGCAAAUGGAUCUCUUAUUUCAAAGGAUAGUGUUGACCGGAAUUUGAUAAAGAAAUCUAUGUGGGGCUUUUUGUUCCUUUGUAAUGUUGAUGCAAAUUGAAAAUGGUUAAAAGCUUUGGUUGCUAUCCCCAAGGUACAACCACGAUUCGCAGUUGCUAUUUGGAAAAAAUACCCAACCAUGAAGUCUCUGUUAACUGUAUAUAUGGAUCCAACUAAAUCAGAGCAUGAGAAGGAAUUUUUACUUAAAGACUUGAUGACAGAAGGUUUGCUUGGUGGUGACAGAAGGUUAGGUGAGGUUUGCUCAAAGCGAGUGUAUAGAAUUCUAAUGGCUCAAAAGGGAUCCAUCAGAACAGAUGAUGUCGAGAAUGGUGCUGAUUUCUUUGAGCGUUAAUCAAACUUAAGACCAUGUGAAUUAUGGAACAAGAGUCACACUUCAUGGUUCGACUUAUUUGAUCCGUAGAGGCUUGAUAGCUUCUCUGGAUCAAGCCGAAAAUCCAACGUAGAGAUGGACCUACGAAACUGACCAAAAUCAUUGCCUUCACUAGGGUUGAUCAUAUCAAGUAUAGAUGCCUGUAAGAGUGUGUAGUUCUUUAUAUUCUUUAGAGCAUUAGGAUGGCCUUCAGUUUUGGGAGAUAUUCUCUUGCUAGAGAGAAAAACUGGAGAUAUAGAUGCAUUCAUGCUCCGUUCGCUAGUAAAUAUUGAUGAUGAUUUGCUGCUGCUUCCACUAUUUCCCGUUUCUGAUCCUAGCAUGUUUUGUCCUAUACUCUUCUCCUGUCAAAACCAAAGGAUAAAUGUUAUUCUCUUAGUUAUAAUUAUUCAAUGUUGUAAAACUCUGAUUCAACUGGUACGUCGAUCGGUUGGCCAGGGAAUCGGCUUGGUAAACAUUGGCAACACAUUAAUGGAUCAGUUAUGCAUACAUGCAGGUAUAAAUUUGACGGACCCGGCCAGUUCUAGAAGAAAAUUGGGGAGCUGGGGAUAAUUUGAUUA
Molecule: RNA transcript, 2475 nt
Organism: Cicer arietinum (chickpea)
Lineage: Eukaryota; Viridiplantae; Streptophyta; Magnoliopsida; Fabales; Fabaceae
Gene name: crossover junction endonuclease EME1B
Source: RefSeq, a predicted model, not a curated record